CUACGGGAGGCUGCAGUGGGGAAUAUUGGACAAUGGGGGAAACCCUGAUCCAGCAAUGCCGCGUGUGUGAAGAAGGCCUGCGGGUUGUAAAGCACUUUCGGUUGGGAGGACUGCUUCUAGCACUAAUAUUGUUGGAAGUUAACGUUACCUUCAGAAGAAGCACCGGCUAACUCCGUGCCGGCAGCCGCGGUAAUACGGAGGGUGCAGCGUUAAUCGGAAUUACUGGGCGUAAAGCGCGCGUAGGCGGCUAGAUCAGUCGGGUGUGAAAGCCCCGGGCUUAACCUGGGAACUGCAUCCGAUACUGUCUAGCUUGAGUACAGGAGAGGGGAGUGGAAUUCCACAUGUAGCGGUGAAAUGCGUAGAUAUGUGGAGGAACACCAAUGGCGAAGGCAGCUCUCUGGCCUGAUGCUGACGCUGAGGUGCGAAAGCGUGGGGAGCAAACAGGAUUAGAUACCCUCGUAGUC
Molecule: ribosomal RNA, 464 nt
Filed under: uncultured bacterium
Lineage: Bacteria
Description: partial 16S ribosomal RNA
Rfam family: Bacterial small subunit ribosomal RNA
Source: RNAcentral